AGUGAACGCUGGCGGUAGGCCUAACACAUGCAAGUCGAACGGCAGCACAGUAAGAGCUUGCUCUUACGGGUGGCGAGUGGCGGACGGGUGAGGAAUACAUCGGAAUCUACCUUUUCGUGGGGAAUAACGUAGGGAAACUUACGCUAAUACCGCAUACGACCUACGGGUGAAAGCAGGGGAUCUUCGGACCUUGCGCGAUUGAAUGAGCCGAUGUCGGAUUAGCUAGUUGGCGGGGUAAAGGCCCACCAAGGCGACGAACCGUAGCUGGUCUGAGAGGAUGAUCAGCCACACUGGAACUGAGACACGGUCCAGAUGCCUACGGGAGGCAGCAGAGGGGAAUAUUGGACAAUGGGCGCAAGCCUGAUCCAGCCAUACCGCGUGGGUGAAGAAGGCCUUCGGGUUGUAAAGCCCUUUUGUUGGGAAAGAAAAGCAGCAGGUUAAUACCCCGCUGUUCUGACGGUACCCAAAGAAUAAGCACCGGCUAACUUCGU
RNAcentral lists this ribosomal RNA (491 nucleotides) under uncultured bacterium. Its description in RNAcentral is "partial 16S ribosomal RNA". It matches the Rfam family "Bacterial small subunit ribosomal RNA", at positions 29 to 506 of the family's 1533-position model. The record is from RNAcentral.